Molecule: long non-coding RNA, 2570 nt
Filed under: Sus scrofa (pig)
Lineage: Eukaryota; Metazoa; Chordata; Mammalia; Artiodactyla; Suidae
Description: lncRNA (ENSSSCG00050007742.1)
Source: RNAcentral
GGAUAUGGUAAAUAACCUUAUUAAGAAUGUGGUUUAGGAGUUCCCGUCAUGGCGCAGUGGUUAACGAAUCCGACUAGGAACUAUGAGGUUGCGGGUUCGGUCCCUGCCCUUGCUCGGUGGGUUAAGGAUCCGGCGUUGCCGUGAGCUGUGGUGUAGGUUGCAGACUCGGCUCGGACCCUGCGUUGCUGUGGCUCUGGCGUAGGCUGGGGGCUACAGCUCCGAUUCGACCCCUAGCCUGGGAACCUCCAUAUGCUGCGUGAGCGGCCCGAAGAAAUAGCAAAAAGACAAAAAAAAAAAAAAAAGAAUGUGGUUUAAAGAUAAGAGUGUUUGGAGAAGUGGAAUGGAUAUGAUUGGAAGAACAGAAUUUAGAAAUAAUCAGUAUAUUUUUACAACCUCAAAUUCAGACAGAUCAACUGGCAAGGUAAGAAAAUAUGGGGUUUUUAUAUUUUCAUAAAAAAAUAGUCAAGCAAUAUCUUAGAGCCCAUAUACUAAUUGACAGCAAAAUAAUCAUGAAUACUAAGAGGAGCAAUUUGGAGAAAAUUUAUGGGUUUUGGAAGACAUGGAACCUUUCAAAGGAAGCAUUUGCUUCAGGCUGUGAUCUGCUAAUUAAUUUUCAGAAAUGCAACAAGAAACUAAAUAGCCACCUAAGUCUCUUUCUACGUUUAUGAGAAAGAAGCUAGUAUGGAAACAAGAAGCUUAUAGAGGAGAAUUUUUUUCAAGAAAUCAAGUUCUAAAACUAUUUUUAGAGCGACUACCUUUAUAGUCCUACUUCUAGAUCACCUACUUUGGAGUCUCAGGAUUUGGGUUUUUACUGAUAUUAUCAAAUGUUUGCUUCCCUGCAGUAUUAGAAAGUAAAAAGGAAUUGUUUUUACCAAAUUUUUUAAAAAAGCAAUGAUGAAAAUAUGGAUGAUGAUUUCCUUUUUGCAUUUUUCUGAUUUUUAAAAUUUCUAAAACAAUAUAAAUGUAAAAAUGAUCUGUGAAAUACAUCUGUGGUCUUUGCACAUCAUAUUGUAGGUAGCCAUAAUUUUUCAGGGUCUAUAAGAUUGAAUUAAGAUAGUGUAUUGUUUUUGAGUUUUGCGUUGAUAUUUUUGUUUUUACUUAUAACAGUGAUGCUGGAAGUAGCGGUGAACGUGAUAUUGCUGAAGGCUGUUUCCAGGCCCCCUAUGCCUUAAAAACCUCAAUUAAGUCCAAUUUCAUCAAAGAGUUCUUCUGCUCUAAGCAUACUCUUCACCUGGGAGCGAAAGGGACUUCAGAUCUGGAGCUCUUCUUUCUCCCCUUUGGCAUGCACACACGCUACUGUGUCAUCAUCCUCAGCAACAAAAAGGUGAGGACGGAAUUACAUGUGUGCUUUCAUCAAGGGCUGCCACUGUAAUGGAAUAACCAGUAUAGGUCAUUUGACAGCAGCUAAAGACUCUGAGAAUAUAGCUAACAAUUUCAGCCCUCUAGUUGAUAAACAAAGAGCUUAUCCUCAAGAAUAAGCAAAGAUUUAUACUACCUGUCUGCAAAUUUUAUAAUGGCUGGAUAAGGAAGUCCCAUGGGAGCAGAAUGGAGGCAUUCCUAACCUGCCAGUACCUUAUCUAUAUCGUCAUCUAUGGUCAUAUAACAAGUUACCAAAUACUGCUGCUCUUAAAACAAUAUGUAUUUAUCAUGUCACGUUUUCUAUGGAUCACAGGUCUAGGUGGGCCCUCUGGUUUAGGUCUAGCAAGUCUUCAAUUCACUGAUUGGCCAGUGCUGUGUUCUCCUCGGAGGUUAAGCUGAAGAAGUGGCUGCUUCUAAGCUUUCUCAAGUUGUUGGCGGAAUUAAUUUUCUAGCUCUGGGAUCCAUGCAUCUUACUUCUCUAAAGCCAGCGAAGGUGAAAAACAGAAGAGGAGGGAGGGGAGAGGAGGUGGGGGCAGAGAGAGAGAGACAGAGAGAGAGAGAAAGAAAGAAGAGAGGAUUUAGAGGAAAAGUUUUACGGUAUUCUUCUCUUUGAAAAAGACACUGCCAUGUCUUGACCUGAGGGAACUUAUGACCCAUGGGAGAUUGCCCCAAAUGUGUGUUAUGUAUCAAUUAUGCACUAUAUAGAAUGCAUAACAAUGAAAUAAUGGUGAUUGGGAGUUCUCAUCGUGGCUCAGUGGUAACGAACACAACUAGGAUCCAUGAGGAUGUGGGAUCGAUCUCUGGUCUCGGUCAGUGGGGUAAGGAUCUGGCAUUGCCGUGAGCUGUGGUGUAGGUUGCAGGCGUGACUCAGAUCUGGUGUUGCUGUGGCCGUGGUGUAGGCUGGCAGCUGCAGUUCCAAUUAGACCCCUAGCCUGGGAACCUCCACAUGCUGCAAGUGCGGUCCUAAAAAGAAAAAAAAAAAAAAGGAAUUGGAAAGAGGUAUUAUAUUGACUUAUCUGUAGGAUCCUUUACACAUGAAAAAUAGUAUAGCCUAUUAAAUAUGUAAGGAAUAGUUUUACACUGAGAAUUACCAUUUCAGGUGAAAAAUGCUACUUUAUCGUAAUAUCGAACCUUGUUUUUCAUUUCUCUUGAAAGAGUUUAGGUUUUAGCUGAAUUCCUCUAUAUGAAAAUUUGUAAAAAAAAAAAAAAAA